AGAGUGGCGCACGGGUGCGUAACGCGUGAGCAACCUACCCAUAUCAGGGGGAUAGCCCGAAGAAAUUCGGAUUAACACCGCAUAACACUGUUAGUUGGCAUCAACAUACAGUUAAAUAUUUAUAGGAUAUGGAUGGGCUCGCGUGACAUUAGCUAGUUGGUAAGGUAACGGCUUACCAAGGCAACGAUGUCUAGGGGCUCUGAGAGGAGAAUCCCCCACACUGGUACUGAGACACGGACCAG
This 242-nucleotide ribosomal RNA is filed under the name uncultured bacterium. RNAcentral's name for it is "partial 16S ribosomal RNA". It matches the Rfam family "Bacterial small subunit ribosomal RNA", at positions 92 to 334 of the family's 1533-position model. The record is from RNAcentral.